AUUGAACGCUGGCGGCAUACUUUACACAUGCAAGUCGAACGGUAACAGGCCGCAAGGUGCUGACGAGUGGCGAACGGGUGAGUAAUGCAUCGGAACGUGCCCAGUCGUGGGGGAUAACUACUCGAAAGAGUAGCUAAUACCGCAUACGAUCUAUGGAUGAAAGCGGGGGACCGUAAGGCCUCGCGCGAUUGGAGCGGCCGAUGUCAGAUUAGGUAGUUGGUGGGGUAAAGGCUCACCAAGCCAACGAUCUGUAGCUGGUCUGAGAGGACGACCAGCCACACUGGGACUGAGACACGGCCCAGACUCCUACGGGAGGCAGCAGUGGGGAAUUUUGGACAAUGGGCGCAAGCCUGAUCCAGCAAUGCCGCGUGCAGGAAGAAGGCCUUCGGGUUGUAAACUGCUUUUGUACGGAACGAAACGGCUCUGGUUAAUACCCGGGGCUAAUGACGGUACCGUAAGAAUAAGCACCGGCUAACUACGUG
This 482-nucleotide ribosomal RNA is filed under the name uncultured bacterium. RNAcentral's name for it is "partial 16S ribosomal RNA". It matches the Rfam family "Bacterial small subunit ribosomal RNA", at positions 30 to 507 of the family's 1533-position model. The record is from RNAcentral.